RNAcentral lists this long non-coding RNA (396 nucleotides) under Papio anubis (olive baboon). Its description in RNAcentral is "lncRNA (ENSPANG00000036289.2)". The record is from RNAcentral. Lineage: Eukaryota; Metazoa; Chordata; Mammalia; Primates; Cercopithecidae.
UGGGAGGAGUCCUCGUAGUGGAAUUAGUGUCCUUAUAAGAAGAAACACCAGACACCUGUUCUCUCUCUAACUCCUCUGUGAGGACCCAGCUAGAGAGUGUCUGUUUGCAAGCCAGGAGCAGAGCUCUCGGCAGAAACCAACCAUGCUGGCAUCUUCAUCUUGGCAUCUUCAUCUUGGACUUCUAGACUUCAGACUAUGGUGAUUUCAUACAGUAUCCUUCACCAGAAUUUGGUUACACAUUCGGGAGCCACUGCUGGUCUUUUAGAAAUGAGAAAACUGAAUCCACUAGAGUUUCCCACAAGGCACUCGGCAGCAUUGGGAAGAUCUUCGCCCCUCAAUGGGACCUAUCAGGAUGGUCUGCUGCUCGCCUUGGCUUUGAGGUCAUACGCUAAAUGA